UUGAACGCUGGCGGCAGGCCUAACACAUGCAAGUCGAAUGGUAACAGGAAACAGCUUGCUGUUUCGCUGACGAGUGGCGGACGGGUGAGUAAUGUCUGGGAAACUGCCUGAUGGAGGGGGAUAACUACUGGAAACGGUAGCUAAUACCGCAUAACGUCGCAAGACCAAAGAGGGGGACCUUCGGGCCUCUUGCCAUCAGAUGUUCCCAGAUGGGAUUAGCUAGUAGGUGGGGUAACGGCUCACCUAGGCGACGAUCCCUAGCUGGUCUGAGAGGAUGACCAGCCACACUGGAACUGAGACACGGUCCAGACUCCUACGGGAGGCAGCAGUGGGGAAUAUUGCACAAUGGGCGCAAGCCUGAUGCAGCCAUGCCGCGUGUAUGAAGAAGGCCUUCGGGUUGUAAAGUACUUUCAGCGGGGAGGAAGGGAGUAAAGUUAAUACCUUUGCUCAUUGACGUUACCCGCAGAAGAAGCACCGGCUAACUCCGUG
This 489-nucleotide ribosomal RNA is filed under the name uncultured bacterium. RNAcentral describes it as "partial 16S ribosomal RNA". It matches the Rfam family "Bacterial small subunit ribosomal RNA", at positions 30 to 507 of the family's 1533-position model. The record is from RNAcentral.